UCGGGAAUUUUGGGCAAUGGGGGAAACCCUGACCCAGCAACGCCGCGUGAAGGAUGAAGUAUUUCGGUAUGUAAACUUCGAAAGAAUAGGAAGAAUAAAUGACGGUACUAUUUAUAAGGUCCGGCUAACUACGUGCCAGCAGCCGCGGUAAUACGUAGGGACCAAGCGUUGUUCGGAUUUACUGGGCGUAAAGGGCGCGUAGGCGGCAUGACAAGUCACUUGUGAAAUCUCUGGGCUUAACCCAGAACGGCCAAGUGAUACUGUCGCGCUAGAGUGCAGAAGGGGCAAUCGGAAUUCUUGGUGUAGCGGUGAAAUGCGUAGAUAUCAAGAGGAACACCUGAGGUGAAGACGGGUUGCUGGGCUGACACUGACGCUGAGGCGCGAAAGCCAGGGGAGCAAACGGGAUUAGAUACCCAAGUAGUCCCUGAGCGGGCUGGCAAGGCGCAU
This 447-nucleotide ribosomal RNA is filed under the name uncultured bacterium. Its description in RNAcentral is "bacterial SSU rRNA". It matches the Rfam family "Bacterial small subunit ribosomal RNA", at positions 355 to 825 of the family's 1533-position model. The record is from RNAcentral.